CGCGUAGGCGGCCUCCUAAGUCGGACGUGAAAUCCCCGAGCUCAACUCGGGAACUGCGUCCGAUACUGGUUGGCUUGAAUCCGGGAGAGGGAUGCGGAAUUCCAGGUGUAGCGGUGAAAUGCGUAGAUAUCUGGAGGAACACCGGUGGCGAAGGCGGCAUCCUGGACCGGCAUUGACGCUGAGGUGCGAAAGCCAGGGGAGCAAACG
This 207-nucleotide ribosomal RNA is filed under the name uncultured bacterium. RNAcentral describes it as "partial 16S ribosomal RNA". It matches the Rfam family "Bacterial small subunit ribosomal RNA", at positions 568 to 774 of the family's 1533-position model. The record is from RNAcentral.